This 72-nucleotide transfer RNA is filed under the name Ovis aries (sheep). It matches the Rfam family "tRNA". Rfam says of the family: Transfer RNA (tRNA) molecules are approximately 80 nucleotides in length. Their secondary structure includes four short double-helical elements and three loops (D, anti-codon, and T loops). Lineage: Eukaryota; Metazoa; Chordata; Mammalia; Artiodactyla; Bovidae. The record is from Rfam by way of RNAcentral.
UGCCUGGUGGCUCAGAGGUUAAAGCAUCUGCCUGGAAUGUUGGAGACCCAGGUUCGAUCCCUAGUCGGGAAG